RNAcentral lists this non-coding RNA (778 nucleotides) under Callitettix versicolor. Lineage: Eukaryota; Metazoa; Arthropoda; Insecta; Hemiptera; Cercopidae. The record is from RNAcentral.
AUAAAGUUUGAUUCUUGCUUUGGACUUAAUUUUAUCAAUAAUUUCCAUGUAAGUUUUUGUGUGUAAAGUUUUUUUUAUAAAUGAUUAUUUAUUUAAUUCGCAGUACUUAAUUCUAUAUAAUUUACUUUUGUUUGAUAUUGUUAAUUGAUUAUUUAAGUGACUAAUUUUGUGCCCGCAUUCGCGGUUAUACAAUUACUUAUUAUUAAGUUUUUAUCUUUUAGUAUUUUUGUAAUUUUUGGAUUUUUAUUUUUUAUUUAUUUAGGUGAAAUUAUUUAUUGAUUAUUUUUUUCUUAUUUAUAUGAUUGUCUGAGAAAUUUUUUUUGUAAACUAGGAUUAGAUACCCUAUUAUUGAAAAUGUAAAUUUUUUAGGUUGAUUAUUGUUAGUUAUGAUCUUUAAAUUCAAAGAAUUUGGCGGUAAUUAAGUCUUUUUAGAGGAAUCUGUUUCGUAAUUGAUAAUCCACGAUUGAUUUUACUUUAUUUUCACUUGUAUAUCUCUGUCAUUGAAUGUAUUAUUAGGUAUUUAUUUUCUUUUUUUCUUUAUUAUUAGAUUAAUGUCAGGUCAAGGUGCAGUUUAUAUUAAAGUGAAUAUGGAUUACAUUGUUUUUAUUUUGGAUUUUGUUUUGUAAUUGAUUAAUUGAAAUUGGAUUUAAUAGUAAUUUUAAAUAGUAAUUUUAUUUUGAUUGGUUAGCUCUUAAUUAUGUACAUAUCGCCCGUCGCUCUCAUUAAUUUGAGAUAAGUCGUAACAAAGUAAUUUUACCGGAAGGUGAAGUUAGAAAGA